This 446-nucleotide ribosomal RNA is filed under the name Bacillus cereus. RNAcentral describes it as "bacterial SSU rRNA". It matches the Rfam family "Bacterial small subunit ribosomal RNA", at positions 77 to 506 of the family's 1533-position model. Lineage: Bacteria; Bacillati; Bacillota; Bacilli; Caryophanales; Bacillaceae. The record is from RNAcentral.
AGCUUGCUCUUAUGAAGUUAGCGGCGGACGGGUGAGUAACACGUGGGUAACCUGCCCAUAAGACUGGGAUAACUCCGGGAAACCGGGGCUAAUACCGGAUAACAUUUUGAACCGCAUGGUUCGAAAUUGAAAGGCGGCUUCGGCUGUCACUUAUGGAUGGACCCGCGUCGCAUUAGCUAGUUGGUGAGGUAACGGCUCACCAAGGCAACGAUGCGUAGCCGACCUGAGAGGGUGAUCGGCCACACUGGGACUGAGACACGGCCCAGACUCCUACGGGAGGCAGCAGUAGGGAAUCUUCCGCAAUGGACGAAAGUCUGACGGAGCAACGCCGCGUGAGUGAUGAAGGCUUUCGGGUCGUAAAACUCUGUUGUUAGGGAAGAACAAGUGCUAGUUGAAUAAGCUGGCACCUUGACGGUACCUAACCAGAAAGCCACGGCUAACUACGU